AUUUAAAAGAGUAGUUAUUGUUGCAAACUCCAUUAGAAAUUUGAAUUGAUAUCAGUUUUGGAAAAAGGGAAACGGGGAUGUGAAAAAAGGGGGGGGGGGGGUUUAAAUUUUUCUCAUUUCAGAUUUCAUAAAUAAAAAGAAAAUUUCUUCAAACAUUUUUUUGAGAGGAUUAAUAUUCAACAGCAUAGUGAAUUGCUCAAAGGCAAAAAAAAAACUUUUAAGUUCAUUAGACCACAUUCAUUCUGUGUCAGAAACCUAUGCUGUGUCAACUAUUUAAUUUUAGAUUUAAAAAGUUUGAAGAAGAAAUCUGUAAUUGAUUUGUAAAAUCUUGACAUUUGUUUUGUGUUAAAAAAAACCAUGUAAUGUCAAAAAUUUUAUCACAAUCCAAAUUCAGAGCUGUAUCACGCUUGAAUGUUUUGUCCAUACUUGCCCCAACUGUUCAGGGUUCGACCUCUGCGGUCGUAUAAAGCUGCGCCCU
This 478-nucleotide long non-coding RNA is filed under the name Mytilus galloprovincialis (Mediterranean mussel). The record is from RNAcentral. Lineage: Eukaryota; Metazoa; Mollusca; Bivalvia; Mytilida; Mytilidae.